GGGUUGACAUUUGUGGGCAGCAGAGUAUACAGUAGAAGGAACAACAAACAAAAACAAACAAAAAAGCAUACAUUAUUGCAGCGACUAUUAUAAGAUGAAAAUCUGACUUGGUAGCAGCUUAAGAACUACAACAUACGUAUCUCAGAAUAUCUCUUCCGCUGUAGACUGGUUCCUCCAAAUGCUGAUCAUUGAGCCCAUACUCUGGCUCCAAAACACGUGACCAGUAUAAUAUUUUGGGCCCCAUGAUAGCAUUGUUUUAGCUUCAUUAUUUUACAAUAGGAAAAGGUGUAGGUGCGCCAUUUACGAAAAGGUUCACUUGAAUUUUUAGUGGAAUUUAAAAAGUCUGUAUCAGUCCCUUUUUAGCGAUCAUAUCUUUUUAUAAAAGAAUUUUCCACUGUCAUGACAGAAAUGCAAUGGGAUUGAGUGGGGAAAAAAAGUAAUGAAAACUCAAGCAAAGCAGAGCUGCACAGACAAGAAACAGCAACAAGUAUUAAACCAAUUAGUUGCUGGUUAAACAUGACCUAGUUUACAAACUGAGUGGCAUUUUAGAUGUUUAAUAGGCAAAAGAGGGACAAAUACUUUUAUUUACCAAUAUAUGAGAAACAAUGUCAAAGGAAAGGUGUCAGAAGACGAUAAAAUCACACGCAUUCACAAACUGCACUGUGCAUUAAGUCCUUACACGUAUGCACACUCAUGUGUGACACUGGCCACACAUGCACACACAGAGUGGUGCCUCUUCGGGCAAACACACAUAAUUGUUCAAGCCCCUCGCUCUUACCACUUACUCUUCUCUUGUUUGAAAGUCACUGAAUAAUCUUGACCUCCUCAGUUCACGAAAGACGCACGAGAGCCAGUCUUAUGAUGUCAUCAGGGUCGGAGGGCAGGACUGUGAUGCCUACACAACUAGACUGUCUGUGGUACUCGAACAAACCCUGACUUUAUCCAUCCUGACCUACUGGUCUAGUUAUGUGACUGUAGAGAAACAAAGAAGUUGAAGCCACAAACAUGGACAGGAUGACUUUUCUGACUCAUGAAAGUUUCAACAGUUUACAAACAAUAACCUGACGUCUGCUUUUUUACAAAAGUUUACAACUAAGAACCAUUGACUUCCUUUACAUGACAGGUUUUUUUAACAUUUGAGCGCAAUACUGUCUCAUUUAAAAGCAAAAAAAAAAAAGUGAUGUGAAGAAUAAAGACAAAAUUACAAUAGUUCAGAAUCAAUUUAGUGUUUAAGUCUGUGGAUGGUGUUUAGUAGCCUUUUUUUUUUUUACGACUGCUGAUACCCCUUAUUUUUUUUACAUUUAACCCUAAUAAUAUUGUGUGUGAUUUUAUACAAUCUGUAUGGACAGCGGGAAUCGCAAGAACUCACAAGAACCCACAGAUUCAUGUACAAUCACGCGAUAACAAGUUGUCUCUAUAAAUACGGUCACAUAACCAUAUAAGCAGUAGAUUGUGUCAUUCAAGAGGACGAAAUGCACUUAUAGACUUCUAGAAUCAGCAUUUCCAUGGUGCAUUGGGGUAAAAUGCUGUCUAAAAACCUUUCAGUUGUUUGUCCCCGCCUGUUUGAUGUGAAAUACGAUCCGCAGAUGGAGUUUUUUAUUUUGAGAAGAAGCCGGAUGUUUUAUUUUGUGUCUGUGCCCAACUUCCUUUCCAGCACGGGUUGAUCUGUGCUAAAUUUAUCCGGCAUGCUCCGGCGUUCGAAAAAAAUAAAACUCUUGCGAUCAGCUGCGGAGUCCGGCGAUCUGCAGCAGAACGGAAAGAAGCCGAUGGAACUUGACGCAUUAACUUGAAUGGUUAUGAUCAGCUGCAAUUGGCGGAUACAGCCUUUUCGUAGCCGUUUCAGAUGCGGUGGAAAUUGGGGGUAAGACUCGAUGUACAGUAGAAAAUUACAAGCUGCUUUUCACGUGUCCUUAUCGCUUUGACUGUUUCUAUGGUGCUUAUUCUGCAGGACAAUUUACCCCAAAUGCUGCAACCGCGAUGACUUUUUCUUGGAAAGUGAGGUAUGACAGAAGUCCAGCAAUCUAUUAUUUAUCAGGCAAUGUAAAAAAAAGUUCCGAACACCAAGUUGGCCUUGUUGUGAUACUUUCUUGAAAGUCUUGACCAUUAAGGGUGUAGGGAACUUGAGAGAGUAAAUAGUGGAAGAGAGACAAAAAUAAUGUGACAAAAACAGCAAAGAGGAAGAGAGAAAGCCAGAGCACUCUUACACUAACCAGGUCUGAUAGCGUGUUAGCCAUCAAGUUCCUGAUUAAUGUGGCUAAAAAUUUGGCCCAGUGACUGGACAAGUUUCUUUGUUUUCUAAACAUAACACAACACUGUGGUUUUACUGAAAAAAAUGAGAGGACACAAGAAGAGGUCAAAAUAAAAUUAAAGUUAGAAAUUGGGAGAAAAUUAAACCACAUGUUACACUAAACUUAAAAUAAGGUGUAGAGGAAUCCAACUGUGAUAGUGAAACAUGUUAUAGUAGUGAUACAGGAGGAGGAGGAGGAGGGUGUGUCUCUCCUCACACAAAGUGCCUUUGUCCCUCUGGCCCUGCACACGUCAACAAUGGGUUUGAGUGACAGACGGCUCCCAAAAAAACCUCAGGGUCCGCAAUGGCGCCUUUGUCUCCUCAACUCGCAUUGUGGUGGACAAAGAGUGCACUGCAACUGGCAGCGUGGGGGGAGGCUACACGAAGAGUGUAGGUUUACAUGCUGACACUUAACACUGAAAGCAUAAAUUUUAAUGAAGACGGUGCAUCUUAAUGAGUGAAUCUGAAUAUAUUUCAAUCACAGAGUCAAUGUAACUGUUAGUUUUGUUUUACCUGCAUGCAGACAGUUUAUCGGUGACUUGAUGAGACUUGAUUUCUACAGAGCAGCUUUGUGAAGCCUCAGUCAUGCAGGAUUACUCACACAGGUGUUUUCACUUUUCAGCCUGAUUAAACCAGAACUGAGUGGGCGUGUCCUGAUCUGACUGAUAUCUCAGGGCCUCUGGUUAGUUUUGUUGCACCUGUUUGGGCGGGGCGAUUUACAUCCCUGUGAUUCUGAUGAGCAAAAAUGACUAAAAGCUCUGCUGGUUAUUUCGUCGGGUGGAGUACCAGUAUUUUGAGCAAAGAGACGAGGUAUUUCUGGUGCACAGGGUUUAAGUCUAAAAAGGAGUCAAACCAGACAAACACUAAUACUAAUCAUAUACAGUAUGUACCGAUUCGAGCAAUCCGAGAAUCAAACUGUUCCUUGAAAAGCUGCUAAAUGAAAAUUCAUUGUUGUACCUUUGCU
This is a non-coding RNA of Xyrichtys novacula (pearly razorfish), 3251 nucleotides long. NCBI's taxonomy places the organism in Eukaryota, Metazoa, Chordata, Actinopteri, Labriformes, Labridae. The record is from the annotation of a GenBank genome assembly.